This 791-nucleotide long non-coding RNA is filed under the name Homo sapiens (human). Lineage: Eukaryota; Metazoa; Chordata; Mammalia; Primates; Hominidae. The record is from RNAcentral.
GAUGCCUGAUCUCAUCAAUCUAGCGGGAGAGACAGGAUAACCUGUCCGAGAGUAUAGCGCCACUAUGACUCCGCCGGAAAAAUUACUUUAAAAAUCGCCAAAAAUUACUUGGAGCAAAGGGCAGUCGGCGGAGCUUCGCCAAGGCUGGCGCAGUCGGUUUUGACCUGUAGCAGAGAACCAAUUCUGGAGAACAGCCUCACUUCUUUGAUUGAAUACUUACAUAAUGCAUUGGAACAUGACAUGAGAUUAAGGUUUAAUAAUGAUAGAAUGAAGACCACAAUAAAAGAGACCUCUACUUAGCUCAGCAAUUCUUACCUUUCUUACCUAUUUGAUGAAGAUGUCUUUUGAAAGGUGUACUGCAAGGAACAAAAUGUUUGUAAAUUCUCCUUUUACCAAGGUAAAGAUCAAAUUUUAUAAAUUUACUUGUUUGUUUAUACAAGGAAAAAUAACUUCAUAUAUUGAAUAUAUUCAAAAGUUUAAGCAUUUAGUUGUAUUGCCCUGUUAAGUUGGCAUAGCAAAUAAAUGCUUUUCUUUUCCUCAUUUUAUUCUUUGUGUUUCCUAACCUAUAGCACUGUGCUGGGCACAGAAUGGACUUCAGUUAAGUUUUUGAUGUAGAAAUGUUUUAUUAUUCUACUUAAAAUCUCCUUAAAAAUAAUUAUGCAUAUUACAUCAAUGUUAUAAUGUUUAAACAUAGAUUUUUUUACAUGCAUUCUUUUUUUCCUGAAAGAAAAUAUUUUUUAUAUUCUUUAGGCGCGAAUGUGUGUUUAAAAAAAAUAAAACCUUGGAGUAAA